UCAGACACUCUUCAACGCCCCAUCCCUGUUCUUUUCUCUCCAUCAGAAAAAUAAAAUAUAAAAAAAAUACCGAAAUUGGGAAACGAAAGAGGAAGGAAUGAUCAGGGAUGGGCUUAAGCCAAAAAUAUUGUUAGCCCUAUCUUCCUAACGGUGCUAUAGGUUGGGACUACUUACGUGGGUCAACCUAAUCCCCGCCUUAUGUUUAUAAAAAAUUAAAAAUGGAAAUAAGUUAGCACUGUUUUCCUUUCUCCCAAUCACAUAAAAGAUCAUUAUUUCAUGUCACUUCAUUUCAUCUCCAAAGAAGCAAAUCUGUAAGUCUUUGAUAGACAGCUAUGUAUACGAGACUGUAAUAAACGUGGUGGUCCUAAACUAUCUAAUAAUUUCUAUUCAGACACACAUAAGGGUAUAGAGAGAAGAGGGGGCACAUAGAAUGAAUAAUGGAUCUCUAUUUAUAAGUAAGGUCUAUGUUCGUCACCUCUUUUCAGUGCAUCCUUUCCUACAAACAAUCUACACGGACGAGCAUCAAGGAGAGCUUUGAGCACACAUCUCAUUCAACAUGAAUCAGAAGCAGUUAAGGUUUUGGAUGCAACUAAGCGUUCACCUCACCAAGUAGCAUACAGAAGGGAAGAACCUGUGAAGAGCGGCAUCGAUGGUGAUGAGGGAGAAGAUGAAUUAGUCUAUCACAUAGAUUAUCACGGUGUGACGACCCAUCCUGGUUCAAAUCCUAAACAUGGAAAACCAUAAAACAGUCAUCAGAUCGUUUUUUAUUCUUUUGAAUAUAUGUAACAUGAUCUAGCUAAUCAAUGAGAUGUAGUUGUUCUAAUUUCAUUUUACCACCUCGAA
RNA transcript from Spinacia oleracea (spinach), 843 nucleotides. RefSeq lists it as uncharacterized. NCBI's taxonomy places the organism in Eukaryota, Viridiplantae, Streptophyta, Magnoliopsida, Caryophyllales, Amaranthaceae. The record is from RefSeq and is a predicted model, not a curated record. The transcript has 3 exons.